UCUCUGCUGUGCUGCUGCUGCUGCUGCUGCUGCUGGAGGAGGAUUAAGAGAAACUCUGCUGCUUUCAUAUUUCUGUAUUUGAUUGAAAAUAAACUAGUAAUCAAGAUAUUGAGAUCUUUUCCAGCUGAUUUUACCCCCGGAUCAGAGGAGGACUCUUUGUGGGUUGUUAACCAGCUUUAGGAUAUGUGUUAGCUAGCUAAGUUAGCUAAGUUGUGUGUGUAGUUAGCGUUAGCCAGCUAAGUUAGCUAGGUUAUGUGUGUGUUAGUUAACUGGCUAAGUUAACUAGGUUAUGUGUGUGUUAGUUAACUGGCUAAGUUAACUAGGUUAUGUUUGUGUUAGUUAACUGUCUAAGUUAGCUAGGUUAUAUGUGUGUUAGUUAACUGGCUAAGUUAACUAGGUUAUGUGUGUGUUAGUUAACUGGCUAAGUUAACUAGGUUAUGUGUGUAUUAGUUAGCUAGUUUAAAUGUGUGUUAGUUAGCUAGGUUAUGUGUGUUCGUUUGCUAGCUAAGUUAACUUUUAUGUGUGGGUUAGUUAGCUAGGUUAUAUGUGUGUUAGCAAGUUAAAUGCGUGUGUGUUAGUUAGCUAGGUUAUAUGUGUGUUAGUUAGCAAGCUAAGUUAGCUAGGGGAAAUGUGUGUGUGUUAGCUAGGUUAAUCGUGUUAGCUAGUUUAAAUGUGUGUGUUAGUUAACUAGGUUAAAUGUGUGUGUGUUAGUUAGCUAGGUUAAAUGUGUGUUGUUAUUAUUAUUAUUAUUAUUAUUAUUAUUAUUAUUAUUAAUGUUUAUUUCCCUUUAUAAUACUGUGACAUGAUCUGCAGUAACUCUGGUAAAGAAGAACUCAGUAACUCCUCAGUAAUUAGUAAUUAGUUACCAUGUUUCUCACUUUAUAAUACUGUGGUAUGAUUUGCACUAACUCCUAAAGAAGAACACAGUAACUCCUCAGUCAUUAGUAAUUAGUUAACAUGUUUCUCACUUUAUAAUACUGUGGUAUGAUUUGCAGUAACUCCUAAAGAAGAACUCAGUAACUCCUCAGUAAUUAGUAAUUAGUUAACAUGUUUCUCACUUUAUAAUACUGUGGUAUGAUCUGCAGUAACUCCUAAAGAUG
Long non-coding RNA from Astyanax mexicanus (Mexican tetra), 1100 nucleotides. RefSeq lists it as uncharacterized. The transcript is spliced from 3 exons. NCBI's taxonomy places the organism in Eukaryota, Metazoa, Chordata, Actinopteri, Characiformes, Acestrorhamphidae. The record is from RefSeq and is a predicted model, not a curated record.